Molecule: long non-coding RNA, 706 nt
Filed under: Ornithorhynchus anatinus (platypus)
Lineage: Eukaryota; Metazoa; Chordata; Mammalia; Monotremata; Ornithorhynchidae
Description: lncRNA (ENSOANG00000039017.1)
Source: RNAcentral
GCAGCUUUAAGCUCAUGGGCUCUAAGCCUGGAAAAUGGCUCACCAAUGUAAUUUCUGCAUAUUAUCUCUCUCCCUUUCUAGACUUUAAGCUUGUUGUGAGCAAGGAACACACUAACCCUGUUGUAAUGCAGUCUCCCAAGCACUUGGUACAGUGCUCUUCACACAGGAAGCACUCAAUAAAUACCACUGAUUGACUGAUCAUGGAAGAAUGGCUGGCAAGAGCCCGACUCCAACUUCAGGAACUUGUAAGGCAGCAACUGUUCCUCCAGACCAACGCCAUCCUUUUCUCCUCUUUCGCCUGCUCUGAGUUUGUCAUUAUGGGCCUCUUUUUCUUGCUGAUUCAUGGUGGGGAAGAAAGAGGACAAGGGCAUAGGAAAAGCAACAGGAGGGACCUGCUACUGAGAAGCUUUGGCAUAAGAAUUGACAACUACGGAAAGAUGGAAGAUGGGAAGAAGAAAAGAAAGCUCCUGGAGAUAUAACUUGAAUUUGACUUGACAGUCUUUACUCAAAAUGAUUGAGAAACAUGAAUGCCUCUUAGAAGAAAAGGUCAAUUCUCCCUGUUUUGUAGAGUCUGUAAAUAGAAGGCCCACGGGAUCGUGCAAAACAAAGUUGAGGGAAACCAGAGUGUCGUGGUGCCUUGCAAGGGUUUAUGACAACUUUGUCCCUGCAAUCUCACAGAGAUACAUGUACCCAUCCUUCAAAAUAG